AUGGACGCUGGCGGCGUGCCUAAUACAUGCAAGUCGAGCGAACGGACGAGAAGCUUGCUUCUCUGAUGUUAGCGGCGGACGGGUGAGUAACACGUGGAUAACCUACCUAUAAGACUGGGAUAACUUCGGGAAACCGUAGCUAAUACCGGAUAAUAUUUUGAACCGCAUGGUUCAAAAGUGAAAGACGGUCUUGCUGUCACUUAUAGAUGGAUCCGCGCUGCAUUAGCUAGUUGGUAAGGUAACGGCUUACCAAGGCAACGAUGCAUAGCCGACCUGAGAGGGUGAUCGGCCACACUGGAACUGAGACACGGUCCAGACUCCUACGGGAGGCAGCAGUAGGGAAUCUUCCGCAAUGGGCGAAAGCCUGACGGAGCAACGCCGCGUGAGUGAUGAAGGUCUUCGGAUCGUAAAACUCUGUUAUUAGGGAAGAACAUAUGUGUAAGUAACUGUGCACAUCUUGACGGUACCUAAUCAGAAAGCCACGGCUAACUACGUG
RNAcentral lists this ribosomal RNA (496 nucleotides) under uncultured bacterium. RNAcentral describes it as "partial 16S ribosomal RNA". It matches the Rfam family "Bacterial small subunit ribosomal RNA", at positions 29 to 507 of the family's 1533-position model. The record is from RNAcentral.